Caldimicrobium thiodismutans is the source of this 73-nucleotide transfer RNA. It matches the Rfam family "tRNA". From Rfam's summary of the family: Transfer RNA (tRNA) molecules are approximately 80 nucleotides in length. Their secondary structure includes four short double-helical elements and three loops (D, anti-codon, and T loops). The record is from Rfam. Lineage: Bacteria; Pseudomonadati; Thermodesulfobacteriota; Thermodesulfobacteria; Thermodesulfobacteriales; Thermodesulfobacteriaceae.
GCCCACGUAGCUCAGGAGGCAGAGCACUUCCUUGGUAAGGAAGAGGUCACCGGUUCGAAUCCGGUCGUGGGCU